RNAcentral lists this microRNA precursor (278 nucleotides) under Medicago truncatula (barrel medic). RNAcentral describes it as "MIR2655 microRNA precursor family". It matches the Rfam family "MIR2655 microRNA precursor family". Lineage: Eukaryota; Viridiplantae; Streptophyta; Magnoliopsida; Fabales; Fabaceae. The record is from Rfam by way of RNAcentral.
CGUUUAACUAUUAAAAGUUUCGUUUUGGUCCCUUAACUUAUUUUUUGGUUUCGUUUUGGUCCCUUAACUCUUCCUUCGUCAACCACUUUGGUCCUUUAUGUUAGGAUGAAUGUAUUAGAGUUAAGGACCAAAACGAAAUCGAAAAAUAAGUUAAGUGACCAAAACGAAAUCAAAAAAUAAGUUAAGAGACCAAAGCGAAACUUUUAAUAGUUAAGGGACCAAAACAAAACCAAAAAAUAAGUUAAGGGACCAAAACGAAACUUUUAAUAGUUAAGGGA